Molecule: transfer RNA, 71 nt
Filed under: Dallia pectoralis (Alaska blackfish)
Lineage: Eukaryota; Metazoa; Chordata; Actinopteri; Esociformes; Umbridae
Description: tRNA-OTHER
Source: RNAcentral
CUACUAGUGGUCAGUGGUAGAGUGCAUACUUUGUAUGUAUGAUGUCCUGGGUUCAAUCCGCAGCUUCUCCC